RNAcentral lists this ribosomal RNA (263 nucleotides) under uncultured bacterium. RNAcentral's name for it is "partial 16S ribosomal RNA". It matches the Rfam family "Bacterial small subunit ribosomal RNA", at positions 524 to 786 of the family's 1533-position model. The record is from RNAcentral.
UACGUAGGUGGCAAGCGUUGUCCGGAUUUACUGGGCGUAAAGGAUGCGUAGGUGGAUAUUUAAGUGGGAUGUGAAAUACCUGAGCUCAACUUGGGUGCUGCAUUCCAAACUGGAUAUCUAGAGUGCAGGAGAGGUAAGUGGAAUUCCUAGUGUAGCGGUGAAAUGCGUAGAGAUUAGGAAGAACACCAGUGGCGAAGGCGACUUACUGGACUGUAACUGACACUGAGGCAUGAAAGCGUGGGGAGCAAACAGGAUUAGAUACC